RNAcentral lists this long non-coding RNA (234 nucleotides) under Elaeis guineensis (African oil palm). RNAcentral's name for it is "long non-coding RNA (EGUI_LNC004003)". Lineage: Eukaryota; Viridiplantae; Streptophyta; Magnoliopsida; Arecales; Arecaceae. The record is from RNAcentral.
ACAUAAUCAACAGAUGGAGGGUCAAGAGGGCAAGGCCCCCUUGAUGGGGGUCUAAGGGGAUGGAACCUCAUCGAACAAACGAUAGAGGGUACAUGCUGUGAAUGACUGUGAUUCUCCUUCUUUGUCUCAUUGAAAUGGAGGACAAAUCUAGAAACACUCGUACCAAUGGCAACCCUAAUCUUUGGUAUAAAUAGAUAAUUAUUGGGUAUCCAAAUACAUGAGAGCAUUGCAUCC